Molecule: long non-coding RNA, 1454 nt
Filed under: Homo sapiens (human)
Lineage: Eukaryota; Metazoa; Chordata; Mammalia; Primates; Hominidae
Description: novel transcript, sense intronic to LRRK2
Source: RNAcentral
UUUUUUUUUUUUUUUUUUUUUUUUUUUUACCACCAGAAGCUGUUCAGAAUGUUAUUUUCUUAAAUAGUUCGGAAAAAAGUCUUGAUGUAUUCUAUGAAAGCACAAAAAUAGUCAGUUUCUAUGACAGCUGGAUUGUCAACGUCUGUUCAGCUUACGUGGAGGAGGAUGUCCUACUUGAGUAGUAUAGGUAGAAAUAGCUAUCAGAAAUUGCCGCCUUUGAAAGCAAUUUGAAAUUAUGUAAAAGGAAGUAAUGACAAAAUAAAGCAAUUUAUGUUUAAUCUGGAAAAGAUCCAAAAGUAAUAUUGUAAAGAGAUCUUGAGUAAUCAUUUUUAUCUUCCUAAAAUAGCCGUUGUUUACUCCCGUAAGCGAGUAAGAAACUUGUGCCAUUAUUCCUUAUUGGGUGCAUAUAGAUUUCUCACCUUGUCAUUCAACUCCUUGCAAUAUUCAACUUUACUUAUGCAUCCAGCCUUAUCCCAAAAUAGCCUCUUCCCUGUAGCAGCUUCCUUAUCAUGUAGCAGCCUACUCUCCUCACCGCUCAUCCGUUCUUAUACAAUCUGGCUUAAGCUCUACCUCUUCAUAUUAUAUUCUUCUCUGAGUAAUUUCAACUCACACUGAGUCUUACUUUCAGUAUUUCUAUUAUAUUGGUAUUUAUUACACAUCACACUUAGAUACUUUUCCAUUAGUCUCUAGAGGGUACAUAUAUGCACUUUCUCUUUUUUUUUUUUUUUUUGACCAUGUCAAGUAUAGUUCUAUAGUAUAAUAGAAUGAAUUGGAGAUCCUUUACAUUUAGAGAGGGAGGAGUCUACAGUAGGAAGAAUAGGUUAAUUUUCAUCUCCGGUUUGAAAUCAGGACUUUCAAUUUUUUUUUCAGAGGUAAAGAGCAACUUAGUCAAGUUGGCAUCUUGUAAACAGACUGAGUGAAGAUAUACUUAAAAUGCAUCUAUAAUUUCAUAUUUUAUUUCGAAAUGUGAAAGAGCCUACUAGGGGUGUCUGUGAUCUCUAGACCUUAUCAAUUCAUUCUAGAGAAAUCUGGAGGGAGCCAUUGAGGAGUUCUACCUCCUGUCUAUUUUAUAGAGCUCUUUCUCUUUUUCUCCUAUCAGAUGUAGAUUCAAUUGCUAAAAAUGCCACGUUUCUUGCCUCUAUUAUUCUAGCUUCAUUACUUGGGGAGCAGCCAUUCUGAUAACUUACAUUUUGCUACUAAAAUCUCCAACUUCACCUAAUCCUUCAUUAUAAGCCACUUCAUUUUUUCCUAUAAUUAAAAUUUUAAAUAUGUGGAGGAAAUUCUGUCAGGUAGAUAUGACUUAAAACCUACUAAGGGCCAGGUGCAGAGGCUCACGCCUGUAAUCCCAGCACUUUGAGAGGCCAAGUCAGGAGGAUUGCUUGAGCCCAGGAGCUUGAGACCAGCCUGGGCAACAGAGCGAGACCCCUGUCUUCACAAAAAAAAAAAAAAAAAAA